Molecule: ribosomal RNA, 458 nt
Filed under: uncultured Rhodocyclaceae bacterium
Lineage: Bacteria; Pseudomonadati; Pseudomonadota; Betaproteobacteria; Rhodocyclales; Rhodocyclaceae
Description: bacterial SSU rRNA
Rfam family: Bacterial small subunit ribosomal RNA
Source: RNAcentral
CACAAGCGGUGGAUGAUGUGGAUUAAUUCGAUGCAACGCGAAAACCUUACCUACCCUUGACAUGUCCGGAAUCCCGAAGAGAUUUGGGAGUGCUCGCAAGAGAGCCGGAACACAGGUGCUGCAUGGCUGUCGUCAGCUCGUGUCGUGGGAUGUUGGGUUAAGUCCCGCAACGAGCGCAACCCUUGUCAUUAGUUGCCAUCAUUUGGUUGGGCACUCUAAUGAGACUGCCGGUGACAAACCGGAGGAAGGUGGGGAUGACGUCAAGUCCUCAUGGCCCUUAUGGGUAGGGCUUCACACGUCAUACAAUGGUCGGUACAGAGGGUUGCCAACCCGCGAGGGGGAGCUAAUCCCACAAAGCCGAUCGUAGUCCGGAUCGCAGUCUGCAACUCGACUGCGUGAAGUCGGAAUCGCUAGUAAUCGUGGAUCAGCAUGUCACGGUGAAUACGUUCCCGGGUCUU